UUUAAAACUGCUUUUAUUCCAGCCGUAUGAAGACACAUGGAGAGGGUCAAAGAAACCGGGAUCGGGAAUUCAGUUGCGUGCGCCUGCAGAAUAACUGGGGCGCGGUUUCGUUCCCCCGAGAGCGCGGGGCAGCCGCUCCCGCCCUCUGGGAGCCGCGGCGGUGCCGCAGCAGCGUCCGGCAAAAUCAUCCUGUUCACAGAUCGUCCGAACGUUUUAGUGCCCUUUUUUAUUAACAGUAUUAGACAGGUUCAGAGUAGUCAUCUAUGCAAUUGCCUCCAAGAAAAUGAGGCACAGUCAGAAGAGAAAUUACAGAACCACCAUGC
Molecule: long non-coding RNA, 323 nt
Organism: Oenanthe melanoleuca
Lineage: Eukaryota; Metazoa; Chordata; Aves; Passeriformes; Muscicapidae
Exons: 3
Source: RefSeq, a predicted model, not a curated record